UACGAAGGGGGCUAGCGUUGCUCGGAAUCACUGGGCGUAAAGCGCACGUAGGCGGAUCUUUAAGUCAGGGGUGAAAUCCCGGAGCUCAACUCCGGAACUGCCUCCGAUACUGGGAGCCUUCGAGUCCGGGAGAGGUGAGUGGAACUGCGAGUGUAGAGGUGAAAUGCGCAGAUAUCAGGAAGAACACCCGUGGCUAAGGCGGCUCUCUAGUACGGUACUGACGCUGAGACGCGAAAGCGUGGGGAGCGAACAGG
Molecule: ribosomal RNA, 254 nt
Filed under: uncultured bacterium
Lineage: Bacteria
Description: partial 16S ribosomal RNA
Rfam family: Bacterial small subunit ribosomal RNA
Source: RNAcentral